GCAAAAGUCUCCUGGGCCACCUCUGUCAAAGCACAGGGAUGUCCCCCAGGGAAGCUCCCAUCUCCUUCCCAGUGGAGGCUGCAGCCAAGUGGGCAGGAGACCACGGAAUUCCUCCCACUACCCAGACUUCAAAGGACCAGGGCUUCUCACAGCCACCCAACAGGGGGAGGCACCAAAUGAUGACCCUGGAAUUCAUACUGAUCUUGGAAAAGGAAGCAUGAUUCAUUUGAUUAACCAGAAGAAAAAAAUGGGGUAUUUUUUGAACCUCAGUUAUUUUAUCUCAGGGUAGUUCAUAUAUGAUAUGGAUGGCUGUCUUGGCUUAGAAGGGUCAUUAUUAUCAUCCUCUCCUUCAGCUAGGAAUACAAGAUAUUACUGCAAUGUAUUACUAGUAACAUUUAAAUAGCACUCAACAGAGAUUAUCUCAUAGGUGCAACAAGAAAAUGCUAUCUGCUCCUCAAAUCAAUUUCAUUAUAGUGUGGGGAAACAAGAGAACUACAUUACCCAGACUCCCCUGCACGUACAGAGGCGGGACAUGACUAGUUCUGGCCAAUGGAAUGUGAUAGAAGUGAUGGACAGACCUGGUCGUAAAACUCUGCACCACUCUCCCUACUGCUCCCAUUGGAGGACACGUUGAAAAUGUUGGUGCCACAGGAAGGAAAAAAACCCCUAGAUCCUGAAUCACUGUUUGAAACCCAGCUUAGUCUAUACGAUUAUGGAGUUGGAUACGCCAGAGUUUAAAGGCUCACGGCUCUGGUGGAAGGGGCUGGAGCCCCCACCUUCUAGGCCACCUGCCUCACAGGAAGAGCUGCAGCGGAGCCAACCUGAAUUCCAAAAUUGCUCAACCCACUCCGGGAAGCCCGAGGCAGUAGCAUGGCGGGACCCACCUGAUGGGCACCUUUGCAUCUGGAAUCCUCUGCAGCCUUAAAACGCUCCGCCCACAGAAGCAGGACCAUGUCACACUCCCCAGAGCAUGGUCACCAUCACUUGGGAAUCUGCUGAGUCUGGAAGAAUCAAGCCCCAGAAGAGACUGCACUGUGUGUGCCUGCUGUCAGAGCCCGGGGGCUCCUACCACGGAGCCCACACUUCUCUGGACUCAGGGGUCUCCUAGUGGUCACCACCAAGCCUCUGCACAUAGGUGUCCUCUCACAAGACACCCCUUCCUCCUGUGCUACCCUGCGGUAGUCCACUAAUUCAUGUGCCUCUCCUGGCCCAUCCACAGGCCUUGGACAUCCCUCUCCACCUCUUCCUCACACAUAUAUACACACACGCAUACCUACACACACACACACACACUCACGCACAUGCACACGCACGUGCAGGAGGGUGUUGUUGGGGGGAAAGUUAAACAUUUACCUGGUUAAAGCCUUUCUUGGACUUGGGGUUUUGCCUUUUCACCACUUCUGUCAGGGUUAGCGUCAGGGCCUCCAUGCUGGAGUCUGAAGGUCAAGGGCGGCUCAGGCCAGGCUCGGGACGGCUCCCUGCUGCCACCCACGCAGCCCCCUGCUCCCGCAGCCCCGCUCACCUAGCUCCUCCUGCUUCCUGCAGGCCUUGUUGAGGUUCACGGAGGUACAGACUUUCUCCACGUUGCUCCAGCGGCUCCUUCCGCUGAUGGCCCCCUGGAAUGCAGCAGCCAGACCCUCAGCCCUGGCGCCUGCUGCCUCUGCUUGGAGGCCAAAGCCGGAGACGCCUGUUCCCUAGCUACCUGCUCUCAGCACUCAGGCAAGGGCCUGCUGCAGGGCACAGGACCAUAGGAGCAGCCUUUGGGCCCCAGCUCUGGCGGAGGAAGGAUCAGGGAAGGAGACGCGAACUGGUCUUACCUUGCUGUAAAUAAUUUGUAGUGUUAGAGGGACGGCCUCCCGGUCGCCAUCGAUGCCCAGCCGCUUGCUGCCAGGACCUGUGCCAAACAACCAAGCUCUUCGCUCUCCUUUGCAGGCGCUCAGACCCUGUAACCACGCCUCCCUAGGACACUCCCUUUCCCCGCCCCUUUCAGGCCCCGCCCCCAAGAGUCCCCGCCCCUCCCUGGCUCCGCCUCCACCCCAGGCAGUGCCCACCUGAAGCUUUGAUGGCUCUCGUGGCAGCAGAGUGACCCAGCUCCAGGGAAUGGAUGAAGAUCUCCGUGGUCUUCACCCCAGUGACAAAGGUCAGCUGGAGAGGAAAGGAGCAUAAGCGUCAGUGGGUAUCUCUCGGGACUCGCGUGGCUUCUCCAGCGUGACUGACACCAGGGGAUGGGAAUAGGCACAGCUGGCACCUGGCGAGUCUCCCGGCCUUACCUCUGUCUGAUACACCUGCAGGAGCACCGGCCGCGCGGCAAAUCGGCAGUAAUACAGCAGCAUGUCGGCCAGGAUGGGCAGCUGGGCAGAGGGGCUCUGCAGGGGCCUGGGUUCAGCCUUCAGGGAGUGCUGUGGCCGGUGAGGGACCAGGCCAGAGGGAAGGAGCAGAGGGGCCGAGCCGGGAGAGAGAGGCACGUAGAAGAACUGAAGCUUAAAGAACCGAGUGAGAAGGGGGCGCGUGUUCUCCAGCCUCCUGCAAAGUGGAAAGAACAUUUCCCAGCUCUUUUUGGGCCAAGAGGUGGCAUGUGACAGAGACGAGCUCUAAGCCUGCACCUGCAGACAGGACAGACACCUUGGGGAUGGUGGCACAAUGGGAUGGUGAGGAGCUUAGAACCUGGUAGGCAGCGGGGAACAAGUCUCCAAGCCCACUGGACUGCACACUCGGGGGCGGACAAACUGGAGAGGGCUCCCUGUCCCCAGAGCCUCACCCAAGACCCCACGGAAGCCAGCCUUUUCUCCCACCGCCCGCAGCUUUGUCUUGAGCCACUGCCGGGCCUCCGUUGCAUCCCUGAUGUUGGAUGCCAGCUCCUGCGCCUCUGCCGUCUCCGUGAAGAUGUCUUCGAGCUCUUCCAGGGUCUUUGACUGAAAGCCCAGGAGGAGGCAAGGUUCAUGCAUGUCCUGUGGCCUGGCUGCCGGCCUCGGUCAGCUUCCAGGGUCUCACCAAGAGCAGCAGCGACCAGUCUGGUACUCGGCCUCAUUCACUGCCUACCUCUCUGAUGGCCUUCCAGGAGCUGGGCCUCCCCCUCCCUCUUCUGUCCUCUCGGGAAAUGGUCAGGAGAGAAGGGCCCAGAAGCAGCGCACUGCGGAGGGGAAGGGGCUAUCCAGGGGACACGGCUUAUUGAUCACAAAACCAGGACGAGUACCCAGGCCUCCACUCAAAGCUCACUUCUGCUCUCAUGCUAAGUCCUUUCUGAGGCAUCAGACUUCAGGCCCCAGCCCCACCUCCCAGGUUGUCACCCGACUGUGACCUCUAACCACUGCCAGGACCCUUGGGUUGAGGGAGGUCAGGGCACACCAGAGGUGGCAGCAAAGGUGGGGUGGAGAGAAGGCUUGCCCCCGAAGAAGUGCCUGGUCAGGGCCCCAGAUCCCUACCUGCAGCUGGCAGUGCAGGCCUGGGAGGUCACAGUGGGCCCCGAAGGUGGCCUGGAAGGCAUGCAGGAGCAAGGUAGUAUAGGCACUGUGGGGUGAGUGCUCGGGUGCACUCAGCUUGUCCGCCACUGCAAGGAAUUCGGCCUCCACCUCCACUGGAUUCAGCAACAGUACCGUGCUGAGGACACAGAAAAGCAGGAUGGGACUUGGGGACAGGCUGCAGGCCAAGGUGUAGCCACAUGGCCCGGACAUCCUUACACCCCAGCAGGGCCUGAGCAAGGGACAGCAGGACGCCAGGAGAAAGGCCAGAGGGGCCGCUUUCCAAGGGAGACACUUGAAGUUACCUUCGCAGUAUUUCCCAGGGGGAGCUUUCAAAGACCUUUUCAAAACUAAGGCUUAUUUUUUAAAAUGCGUUUUACCCUUCUUUUUAUAUAAACAUCUUUUCCUCCUGGACAUCCGAGUGAAUGCAAAUUACUCAAAAGAGUUUAAUUAAAGGCUUGAAGGCAAGUAACCAUUUCAUAGGAAGUGUGCGCGCGCGCUUUUUGCAUGUGCGUGUGCUAGAAUUCCUCAUGGCACCAGGUAGCACCUGGUUCCUCCGCUCCUGGGAACACCUUUUGAAUUAGCCCAAAGCAGGCCAGCAUCAAGCUGGGAGGACAGUGUUGCUCCACUGCCCUUCCUGCUGGAGCUACAGAUUCCCUUUUGGUGCCAGUGUUUAAAUUUCUUUAUUAUGAGCACUUUCAAACCUACCUAAAUGUUAAGAGAAUUGUGACGCCCAAGCUGCCGGGACCAGAUAACAACAUGAGCCUUCUCAUUCCCUGUCACCCCCACCAGCACUGUGCGACCUCAGAGCAAGUUGGAGCCCUCAGGGGUGAUUCUGAUCUCUCCAUCUGAGAGACAAAGGAGGCGGAGCCCCUUCCCUUGCUGAGCACUUGAGGACAUCUCCUGGACUUGUGCUGAGCAUGCAGCAGGCGGCCCUUCCAGGGGGAGAACCAACCACCAGUGUCUCCAGAGAUCCGCGCCAUGUUGGAACUUAGGACGCUGGGACACCAAGCAGCCAGCCUGCCUCCCUGCUAAGCAAUAGUUCAGAAACAGCUGGCAAAUGCUAUUACAAUAACAGAAGACUCUAUGGCAUGAGCAUAGGCCUCUGGGUAAGAACAGAGAUUGAAAUGUUUGCUCGGCUGCUGUGUGACCUUGGAGAAGUUCCGUGGCCUCUCUGACCUCCAGUUUCCUCAUCUGGAAUGCACAAAUGAAUGCAUAAUGUGUGCCCAGCCCUCGGCGUGAUCGCUGCCGAUCUUUUUCAGGAUGUGCAGGAAGAUGCACAGCCCAGAGCAGUGAAGUUGUGCAUACAGACACCACUCAUAAUUCCAGGGCCUACCUGGUCUCCUUGAAGCCUGGCAUUUUAUACCUGGCAUAGGACUGGGCACCAGGAUGGGGUGGGAGGCCCUUGCCCCAUUUAUCCCUUGCCUGGACACUCACACAGUGGAACUCCGGUGACUCCUGAGGGGCAGACCCUGCUCAGCUCUCACCAGUCGUUGGUAGGAGAUUCCUGUGGGCCAAGGACAAAGAGAAAGCGUUCAUGAGCCCAGAUGACCAGGCCAGAAAUGAGAUGAUGAGGUUCCCGAUGACCUUGGGGAAAAGGGCUGCUGUUUGGCCCUUGGUGUGUCCAGUGCCAGUAAUGCCCCAGCCUUCAUGACCGCAGCCUCCGGCCCCCAAGGCCAUGCUGAGCCUCGCCGCUCUCCCUGGGGUCUCCUCCACCUCUGGCUGCUCUCCCUUCCAAAGGCUCGCCCACAGCCACUCUGCGUGGGGCCACUUAUUGGGAGCCACUGAAGCUGGAAAUUGACCACAUGUGCAAGGCUGGAGCAUGACCAUCCCAAGAACAGAGAGUGCCUGCGGACAAGCCACAGGGAGAAGCUCUUCAGCCCGGAGAACACAUGACCCCAAGACAAUCUGAGCAGUGGGUUGCUAGGAUAACGGGGCGUCACGUGACAUUAAGUUGCUAAAAGGUAUAAAUAAAUGGCCCUGCAGUGAGGAGCCAGUUCCUUUCCUCCCAUCAGGAGAAGGGCUUCACCUGACCCCAGCUCUGUCUCUUAUUUUUCUCAUCCUCUCACCGUCCUUAACCCCAAGAACCUCAGGAGCUGCAUAGGUCACGGCAGCCAGCAGGGAAGGCUGGGAUGCAGGCCAAGAGCUGGCUUCUCUGUGUGGUCCUGGGCACAGAGCUAGACAGGUCAUUUUACUCCAGGACCUCAGUUCCUCCCUGUAAGAGGCAGCAUGGAGCGGUGGCCUCCAAGGCCUCUGAGCAUCUAUGAUUCCCAGCUCCAACACCCUGGAAUGUUUCCCUUCUUGGAGACUUAGGGCAGAGCAUCAGGAGAGGGAGGCCCCAGGCGCAGGGGGCUGCCAGUCGCACCCUGCCCAGCUGUUUCCAGUCCCCGACAUUGCUCUGCCCACAGACUGGCAUCUUCCUGCAGUGAGGUGUGUGCCAGGCGGUCCUCAGUCCCUUUGCCCAGACUCAGCUGAAGCCAGGCCACCAGCUUCGAACCUCUGUGUCUCUGCCUGGCCUCCCAUGCCCACUGGGGCUGCGGUCCUGCCUGGCGCUGGCUCUCUGUGAAGUAUCCGAACAUUACCAAAUCAUGCUCUUCUAACUUGUGA
This is a long non-coding RNA of Cavia porcellus (domestic guinea pig), 6065 nucleotides long. RefSeq lists it as uncharacterized. Lineage: Eukaryota; Metazoa; Chordata; Mammalia; Rodentia; Caviidae. The record is from RefSeq and is a predicted model, not a curated record. The transcript has 8 exons.